AACAAGAGAAAGAGGAAGAAGAAGAAGAGAUUGAAGAGCAAUUUACAAAUUGGGAAAGUGACAAAUGUUUAAAUUUCGAUGCAUUCCACUCCUCUCUCUCUUCCCUCUCCAAAUCUCUCUCGUCUUCAUCUUCCCCCUCCUCCUCCUCUCUUCCAGGAAUUGUUGUUUCUGAGGGCUUCUUAUUGUACAGAAGAAAGAAAAAUUGGACUGAUUUUCAUAUAAAAAUAUUUUUAUUUUU
RNAcentral lists this non-coding RNA (238 nucleotides) under Paramoeba aestuarina. Lineage: Eukaryota; Discosea; Flabellinia; Dactylopodida; Paramoebidae. The record is from RNAcentral.